Molecule: long non-coding RNA, 703 nt
Filed under: Marmota monax (woodchuck)
Lineage: Eukaryota; Metazoa; Chordata; Mammalia; Rodentia; Sciuridae
Source: RNAcentral
AUUGUUUUUGUAAUUUCAUUAAGUUUUUUGUGCAUGCUUUUAAUGCUUUAACAGACUAUGGUAGUCUUUGUCUAGUAAGUCCAAUAUCUUUGUUUCUAUUAAUUUCUCCCCCCCAUUGAAUGAGACAUAUUACCUUGUUUAAUUGCCUAUAUCAAUAUUUUUUGUCGAAAGACAGACUUUCUGAAUAGUAUUAUGGGAUCUAUAGAAAUUAUAUUCUUCCCACCAUUGUUUGUGUAACUGUUGGAUAUUGUUAUUUAUCUGUUAAUGACUCUUCUAAACUAUUUUCUAGAUUUUGUUUAGUUUCACAUGUGGCCACUGAAAUCUCUGUUCUAUUAUCUCAGUAGUCAGUAGCAUUUUGAAAAUUUUCUUAAAUACUUAGAGUUAAAGAAAGAAAAACAUCCCCUGGUAUUCCUAGAUUGACUGUGUUAGGAUUAAUUUAUAGUGCUUAGCCAGGCUACUUACAAUUCUAUCAUAAUUGUCAUUUUCGGCUUGUGUGGCACCUAAAUUCAUCUAGAGAAGAAAGUUUAAUUUCUUCUCAUUUUCUGACUUUACUGAUCAUACAACAUCCAAAGGAAUGGUCUUGUCAUACUUGAUUCCUAAUAUUCAAAAGAGCGUUUAAAACACCUUGGCUAUGUGUAUAGUUCAGUGUUAGGGAGCUUGCCUAGCAUGCUCAAGACACAGGUUUGAUUCUCACAUCAACAGG